AGACCUUAUGCUUGCAAGGCACCACGGAGCUGCAUCUGCAGCCCUACACACUGGUUAUCAAGAACCGGCUUUGCCACUGCUCUCAGCCACCUCCGUCUCUGUGAAAAAUGCUCCAGUGGCAAACCUAGUUGAAACAAUUCCAGGAGCCUCGACUAGCAAUCAAGUUGGGAGAAAAGUACACAGAACAUUCUCCAAACGCAGCCGUGCUGUGAGCUGUGUCCACAGCCAGGCGCUGUGGUGGGGCCUGGCACCCUCCCUUCCCUCCCUGGACUUCACCACGAGCGGUGGGCAGAGUCUGCGAGCAGUCUAAUGACCCAGGACAUUUUACUCCCAGCACCAACGUGAUGAAUGAGAACACUGCCAAGUCUCAAGUAUAUAUUUAAAGCGCU
This 389-nucleotide long non-coding RNA is filed under the name Fukomys damarensis (Damara mole-rat). RNAcentral's name for it is "lncRNA (ENSFDAG00000030442.1)". The record is from RNAcentral. Lineage: Eukaryota; Metazoa; Chordata; Mammalia; Rodentia; Bathyergidae.